Long non-coding RNA from Thalassophryne amazonica, 1777 nucleotides. RefSeq lists it as uncharacterized. Lineage: Eukaryota; Metazoa; Chordata; Actinopteri; Batrachoidiformes; Batrachoididae. The transcript is spliced from 8 exons. The record is from RefSeq and is a predicted model, not a curated record.
UGUCUCAACCCGCUGUCUCAACCCUCUCACAGCUACAGCUCCGUCCCCAGCCACACAGACAAACAGUCUCUGAAAGAUCCUCUCAGCAAAAGUCCACUCUUUCAACUCUUUCAACUUCAAAAAAGAAAAAGAUCUGGUGUGGAUCAGCAUGUGUGCAGACUGAGGAAUGAGUUUGGAGCUAAAGAAUGAGGAACUAAACACUGAGACCAAAACUGGUUCAUAUAUACCUGAUAUAUACAGCACAGACUUUCAACAGCUGCUAGAAUAACACAUCAGAUCAGACUGAGAACCACAAACUUCAUCCCCGGACGUGAAUCUGAUCACCAACUCCUCAUAAUGAAAAUGGUUCUGACUCAUCUGGACUGUCUCCAGCACCGCUGCUGCAGUGAAUAACACAUCAGAUCAGACAGAGAACCAUCGACUUCAUCCCUGGACGUGAACCUGAUCACUAACUCCUCAUCAUGAAGCUGCUUCUGACUCUGUCACUCCUCUGGACCAUCUACAGCAGUGCUGGAGCACUUCAGUGUUCCACGUGCUCUGGUUCAUGUACUAACCCAGUCCUUCUCAACUGUACUAAUGGAGAGCAGAUGUGUGGAACGGCGUCUGUAUCAGCUCUUGUCAGCCAGUACGUCAUCAGGGGAUGUGCUGGUUCCAACCUGUGUCCAUCAGCAGGACCUCACAGAGCUUCAUUUCAUGUUGGUGUUGCAUCUGUGCGCAUAUCAGCUGAGUGCUGCAACUCAGAUAACUGCAACAACAAGACUCUGCCUGUCCCCAUCGCUCUUGCAAAUAUCGCAGACAAUCUGCAGUAACAUCUCAGUGCAACAUUACAAUACAAUGUGAAGGAGUGGAGGACCGCUGUGUCCAUGCCAGAGUGUCGCUUCCAAGUGUUGGAGUCAACAGGAAUAUCUCUGGCUGUGCCUCUUCAAACUUGUGCACAACAUCUGCUGCAAUGAGUUUCCUGCAACUUCUGACAAGUGGGAACAUCACCAGUGGACCCAGCUGCUGCACAGGCAAUUUGUGUAAUUCUGCAACAACUUCCAGUCACUCCUGUUUCACACUGAGCCUGAUGCAUCUCCUGGUUGGACUCUUAAUUUUUUCCAUUUUCUAGGAUUUUUAUCUUUCAUGAAUCUCAAUCUUUUUCCAUCUGUGUUUGGGCAAAUUGUUUUGGUGUUUUAAACACACGUGCAAAUUUGUGUUGUAUUGAGCUUAAUUAAUCGAUCAUUCCACAUUCAUGACCAUCCUGUGAUUUAUAUGAUUGAAUCUACAAAGCAAGGUCUUUCAGAAGCUCACAGAAGAUGUUGAACCAAAUUAGCAUCAUCUCCACCUCAGAGCUAAUGUGCUUCUGGAGAUGUGGUCUAUAAUUGCACAGAAAUAUCAUAUAUACUCAUGGGUGUGGAACUUUGUCACAUAAUCACGUAUCAGUCCUGACUGGAUCAUUUUAAGUACUUUAAAUGUGGCUAAAUGUCUUGGGGAUGACUGGGUAUUAAAUAAACAAAUGUUUGGGAUUUAAUGAGGACAAUCUUAUCAAUUAAUUGUUUUUCUCUAAUCUUGUCUUCUGUUUCAAUUGUAAUAAAAUGGAAAUUACCUCAGUUAGCAUUUUAAUUUGCAUUUUAUUGGUUCUUUUCUUCAUUUUAUUGUAUUUUAAUUUGUCUUAUGUGUUUCAUCUACAGCACUUUGUGUCAGCUCUGUCUGCCUUAAGGUGCUUUAUUAAUAAAGUUGGUAUGUUAUGGUAUGGUGGUAUGGUGUGGUCACAAUAAACAGUAAUUGAAACAUUAAA